This 699-nucleotide ribosomal RNA is filed under the name Chytridiomycota sp. Mori Alga2. RNAcentral's name for it is "eukaryotic LSU rRNA". It matches the Rfam family "Eukaryotic large subunit ribosomal RNA", at positions 1 to 621 of the family's 3401-position model. The record is from RNAcentral. Lineage: Eukaryota; Fungi; Chytridiomycota.
AUAGGGAUAGGUUGUACACCUGAUAUUUUGGUCUCAAAUCAAGCAAGACGACCCGCUGAACUUAAGCAUAUCAAUAAGCGGAGGAAAAGAAACCAACAGGGAUUCCCUUAGUAACGGCGAGUGAAGCGGGAAAAGCUCAAAUUUAAAAUCUCCUAGGUUUCCUAGGCGAAUUGUAGUUUCAAGAAGCGUUUUCUGAGAUGGCCUCGGUCCAAGUCUGCUGGAAGGCAGCGCCAUAGAGGGUGAUAGCCCCGUAGGAUCCUGAACCAUUUCUUUAUGAUUGCGUCUUCGAAGAGUCGUACAGUUUGAGAAUGCUGUGCUAAAUGGGAGGUAAAUAUCUUCUAAAGCUAAAUAUUGGCGUGAGACCGAUAGCGAACAAGUACCGUGAGGGAAAGAUGAAAAGAACUUUGAAAAGAGAGUUAAAUAGUACGUGAAAUUGUCUAAAGUGAAACGUUUGAAACUAGUAUCGGAAGAUUACGGACAGCCGCAAGGUGCACUCGUAGUUUUCUGUGCCAGCGACAGUUUUGCUCGCAGUAAAUGCUCCUAGGAAUGUAGCUUCGGUGUUAUAGACUAGGGUGAGUGCUGUGGGUGGGACUGAUGAUCGCCACUGCCUUGGGGAAGCAGCUGCCUCGAAGCAAGCCGUUUUGGACAACUUGUUGACCAAGAUUGUUUUGUUAGGGAUCGGUUGUGUACCACUAUCAG